CAGCAGCCACGGUAAUACGUAGGGUGCAAGCGUUAAUCGGAAUUACUGGGCGUAGAGCGUGCGCAGGCGGUUAUAUAAGACAGAUGUGAAAUCCCCGGGCUCAACCUGGGAACUGCAUUUGUGACUGUAUAGCUAGAGUACGGCAGAGGGGGAUGGAAUUCCGCGUGUAGCAGUGAAAUGCGUAGAUAUGCGGAGGAACACCGAUGGCGAAGGCAAUCCCCUGGGCCUGCACUGACGCUCAUGCACGAAAGCGUGGGGAGCAGACAGGAUUAGAUACCCGUGUAGUCCCUGUCUCUUAUAC
Molecule: ribosomal RNA, 301 nt
Filed under: uncultured bacterium
Lineage: Bacteria
Description: partial 16S ribosomal RNA
Rfam family: Bacterial small subunit ribosomal RNA
Source: RNAcentral